This 261-nucleotide long non-coding RNA is filed under the name Coffea arabica (coffee). RNAcentral describes it as "long non-coding RNA (CARA_LNC004113)". The record is from RNAcentral. Lineage: Eukaryota; Viridiplantae; Streptophyta; Magnoliopsida; Gentianales; Rubiaceae.
GUGUUCAAUUUCAGGUGUGAUGCAAAUCACGAUUGAAAUCUCUGAGGUGAAAGAGGCGAUGGAAGCGGUGAGUAGGGGUGUCGGUGAGAGAGUAAACUGAGUCGGUGAAAGAGAGUGAGAGAGAGUAAGCUUUGUCGAUGACUCGGUGAGUCAAGUGGUGACGAAGACAGUGACGAAGAGGCGAUGAAGGAAGAGGCGGCGCGGCGGAAGCUCAAGGUGAGUUAAGAGAAAUUAGGUUUUUGCAGAUAGGGAAGCUCAAUU